This 1049-nucleotide long non-coding RNA is filed under the name Strigops habroptila (Kakapo). RNAcentral describes it as "lncRNA (ENSSHBG00005012115.1)". Lineage: Eukaryota; Metazoa; Chordata; Aves; Psittaciformes; Psittacidae. The record is from RNAcentral.
GUUCCGUUUCCGUUCCUCGGCGAGGCUGCGGGGGGAGAGGGGCGGCGGCAUGUUGCGGCGACCGGCGUGGCAGGUAGGCCCGUGCGGGGCGGCGUAACGGUACCGUGAGGGCCGGGCUGCGGCCGUGGCGGGAGCUCGGCCCUGGAUUUGUGUCCCCGGGGUGCCCGCAGCGCGGCCGGGUCGCUCGGGGCGGAGGAACGGUGGUCCGCUCAAUCGCUCCCGCCCCGGGGCGGGGGGCAACUCCAGCUCCUGCUCCAUCUCCUCCCGCCGCGGGGCCUGUAAUAACCCUCUCGCCAGGCGCGGGAAACGCGGGCCCGGAGGAGCGCUCCGCUGCGGGGCGGGGCCUCGGCUGUGCUGCGCGGACCGGCCAAGGUUCUGCCCGUGGGAAAAAGUGUGGAUUGUGCCGUGUUAGUGCCGGGCCGCAGGUGGUGGUUGUGUUAUUUCUCGAGAAAUAUGUGGCACUACCCAUGAAAACAGAGGGAGGUUCUGUUUGCGCUCCUACUCUGUAAACAAUGUGCAUGCUGGACCUUCAUUACUCAGCUACUGAAAAAACGACGUAUUAAAAAAUCUGGCUGUGCAUGGAAUGAGUCUGAAAAUAAUUUGCAUCUGCAUCAAUGAAACAUACAGACAUAGCAAAGACCUUUAGUUUUGCAGGUUGUGUUUAGCAAAGGACUGUCAGUCUCACCUUCCUUCAAGUUUUGCAACCACUUGUAACAGGAGAUGAGCUUUUUUUCCAGUUCCUGCACUUAAGCUUCUUCUGGAGAUGUUUGUGGGCUUUUAUUUUUCUCCUCCUUUCUACUAGGACAUGGUAUUUGCCAGCAUCAAGUCAGUUCCUUUUCUUUUUCUCACUUGUGUUUAGCUGCAGCACUUGGUUUUUUUGUGGCCUUGAUUUGCUGGUUGCUUGGGAACAAGGGGUUAUCAGUGCAUCAUUGUACUCUUUAUGGCGGUAGACAGAAGUAAAUUUGGGGCACAUCUUGUUUAAUCUCUGAAGUGAAGCAAAAAGUUGUUAAAACUAUCGACCAAAACUGUGUUUGUUUCCAAAAACCAAA